UUUAAAGAAAAACAAAAGCCAUAAAGAAUGAUAAAAUAAAGGUAGAUAACGAGAAAAAAGAAAAGAACAGAGAUGGAUACGAAAAAAUAAUAAUAAUAAGGAGCGUAGAAGAUAAAAAAAAAUAAGUGUAGACAAAAAUCAGGAUGAUGUUAAAGUGACCUCGCUGCCCUAAAAAACUGGUAGAACUGAACAUGAAUUUAGGACAAUUUUACCAAUGUGAUUCCCAUGCUUGUUGUGUGCCCUAAUCCUAACGGAUGUCGUCUUUGAUGAGCAUGUUCUUUCA
This 283-nucleotide long non-coding RNA is filed under the name Capsicum annuum. RNAcentral's name for it is "long non-coding RNA (CANN_LNC003822)". Lineage: Eukaryota; Viridiplantae; Streptophyta; Magnoliopsida; Solanales; Solanaceae. The record is from RNAcentral.